AUGGCAGGUCCGUUCGCUCACGGAUUUUCUCAAGAGAUAAUGCGGGUGUCCUCCUUGCUUAAGCACCAGCCUGAUGGGGACUUUGAGAGGUUGCCGCCGAUGGCGCGUCCAAACCAGAUGCAUCAUCAUCAGUCGCCCCCAAUGCCUAAUUUUCGUGGAAAUGGUUUUGGCCCGUGGAACCACGGGGCGCAUCCAGAGAGGGUAGGUUUUCCUCAAGGACACGUGGGUUGGCAAGGAGCACCACAAAGCCCCUCUCCAUACAUUGUCAAGAAGAUUUUGCGGUUGGAGAUACCAACAGAUACUUACCCUAAUUUCAAUUUUAUUGGCCGUCUUCUUGGGCCAAGGGGAAACUUGUUGAAGAGGAUUGAAGCCACUACGGGUUGUCGUGUUUUUAUCAGAGGGAAGGGCUCAAUUAAAGAUCCUGGGAAGGAACCUACCACGCGCGCCGAGGUGAGGGCCUCGUGGACUCCGUCCAUCGCCGCAAGCCGACGACCCCGCCGCUUGGCCGAGAACCUCGUGAUGUAUCAAUUAUUUCUCAGCUUGGCGCAUGCAUUACGGCAGUACGCCGCGCGCAGUUUCCUUGGAUUCUAUUCCAUCUCCUCUCGUCCGCUUCCUCUAAUUGUGAGUUUUGGCUGUAAUGCGUUUUACAGAUUCCCAUCUACUGUACUUCCUAUGUAG
RNAcentral lists this ribosomal RNA (678 nucleotides) under Triticum aestivum (bread wheat). RNAcentral's name for it is "partial small subunit ribosomal RNA". The record is from RNAcentral. Lineage: Eukaryota; Viridiplantae; Streptophyta; Magnoliopsida; Poales; Poaceae.